RNAcentral lists this ribosomal RNA (629 nucleotides) under Pseudomonas sp. EECC-495. RNAcentral's name for it is "bacterial SSU rRNA". It matches the Rfam family "Bacterial small subunit ribosomal RNA", at positions 88 to 713 of the family's 1533-position model. Lineage: Bacteria; Pseudomonadati; Pseudomonadota; Gammaproteobacteria; Pseudomonadales; Pseudomonadaceae. The record is from RNAcentral.
UGAUUCAGCGGCGGACGGGUGAGUAAUGCCUAGGAAUCUGCCUGGUAGUGGGGGACAACGUUUCGAAAGGAACGCUAAUACCGCAUACGUCCUACGGGAGAAAGCAGGGGACCUUCGGGCCUUGCGCUAUCAGAUGAGCCUAGGUCGGAUUAGCUAGUUGGUGAGGUAAUGGCUCACCAAGGCGACGAUCCGUAACUGGUCUGAGAGGAUGAUCAGUCACACUGGAACUGAGACACGGUCCAGACUCCUACGGGAGGCAGCAGUGGGGAAUAUUGGACAAUGGGCGAAAGCCUGAUCCAGCCAUGCCGCGUGUGUGAAGAAGGUCUUCGGAUUGUAAAGCACUUUAAGUUGGGAGGAAGGGCAGUAAGUUAAUACCUUGCUGUUUUGACGUUACCGACAGAAUAAGCACCGGCUAACUCUGUGCCAGCAGCCGCGGUAAUACAGAGGGUGCAAGCGUUAAUCGGAAUUACUGGGCGUAAAGCGCGCGUAGGUGGUUCGUUAAGUUGGAUGUGAAAUCCCCGGGCUCAACCUGGGAACUGCAUCCAAAACUGGCGAGCUAGAGUAUGGUAGAGGGUGGUGGAAUUUCCUGUGUAGCGGUGAAAUGCGUAGAUAUAGGAAGGAACACCAGU